Molecule: ribosomal RNA, 495 nt
Filed under: uncultured bacterium
Lineage: Bacteria
Description: partial 16S ribosomal RNA
Rfam family: Bacterial small subunit ribosomal RNA
Source: RNAcentral
GACGAACGCUGGCGGCGUGCCUAAUACAUGCAAGUAGAACGCUGAAGGAGGAGCUUGCUUCUCUGGAUGAGUUGCGAACGGGUGAGUAACGCGUAGGUAACCUGCCUGGUAGCGGGGGAUAACUAUUGGAAACGAUAGCUAAUACCGCAUAACAGUAGAUAUCGCAUGAUAUCUACUUGAAAGGUGCAAUUGCAUCACUACCAGAUGGACCUGCGUUGUAUUAGCUAGUUGGUGAGGUAACGGCUCACCAAGGCGACGAUACAUAGCCGACCUGAGAGGGUGAUCGGCCACACUGGGACUGAGACACGGCCCAGACUCCUACGGGAGGCAGCAGUAGGGAAUCUUCGGCAAUGGACGGAAGUCUGACCGAGCAACGCCGCGUGAGUGAAGAAGGGUGUCGGAUCGUAAAGCUCUGUUGUAAGAGAAGAACGAGUGUGAGAGUGGAAAGUUCACACUGUGACGGUAUCUUACCAGAAAGGGACGGCUAACUACGUG